UGAGGAAUAUUGGUCAAUGGGCGGAAGCCUGAACCAGCCAUAUCGCGUGUAGGAAGGAGGUCUUAUGGAUUGUAAACUACUUUUGUAUAGGGGUAAAGAUAUCAUCGAGAAUGAUAAGAAGAAAGUACUAUACGAAUAAGUAUCGGCUAACUCCGUGCCAGCAGCCGCGGUAAUACGGAGGAUACGAGCGUUAUCCGGAUUUAUUGGGUUUAAAGGGUGCGUAGGCGGAUAUAAAGGUCUAUGGUGAAAAUUUGUUGCUUAACAGCAAAAAGCUUUAGAAACCGGAUAUCUAGGAUAUAAAUGGGGUAGGCGGAAUAAAUCAUGUAGAGGUGACAUUCAUAGAUAUGAUUUAGAACACCGGUCGCGGAGGCAGCUUACCAAGAUAUGAUUGACGCUGAGG
This 400-nucleotide ribosomal RNA is filed under the name uncultured bacterium. RNAcentral describes it as "bacterial SSU rRNA". It matches the Rfam family "Bacterial small subunit ribosomal RNA", at positions 355 to 751 of the family's 1533-position model. The record is from RNAcentral.